UUCUCAUAUAUAUAGUCCUUCCAACCCCUAUCACCAAAACGAAUACGUAGCCACCUAGAAAUACCUUAAUCAUUAUGUCUCCCACUAUUAUAUACUUAGUUCUAUAUUAACGGGACUGCGGUUGAAACCCAACCUUUUCCAAAAUCAAUCUGCUAAUUACCCUUAAUUACAAAAAGAACCCACCAAUUUAGACAACCUUUCAAUUAAAUCCGUAAACUCUCCCAACAACUCAGUACUUAAAAAAUUCGGGUGUGACAUUUUGGCACUUUAGGAAGGUAUAAAU
RNAcentral lists this long non-coding RNA (283 nucleotides) under Gossypium raimondii (Peruvian cotton). RNAcentral's name for it is "long non-coding RNA (GRAI_LNC006216)". The record is from RNAcentral. Lineage: Eukaryota; Viridiplantae; Streptophyta; Magnoliopsida; Malvales; Malvaceae.